CUUAUAAAGAAUUUUUGUGAACUUUUAUCUCUGGACUCUUCUUUAUCGAUUUUAAAAGUAUUUCGACUGGAUCUUUCCGCUUCACUUCACUCUAAUUAUUAUACGGAUUUCGCCAUGAUGAAUCACGAGAUGUUAAACAUUUAUACGGUUUGGGCUGAGCAAAUUUCUUAUGAAAUUUUCAAAGACGUUCUUUUCAAUUGUUUAGAAAACUUUGAAAAAAAUUCAGAUGAAUCCGCCGGUACCUUUUCAGGCCAGCUAAUUUUUGAUCAUAACGUAAAUUGGCUUUCUAUGGCCAUUGAUUUGUUUAACAUAUUUCUUGAGACUCGUCAAAAUUUUGCAGGCCUUGAAGAGUUUUCAACUUUGUUUUUGGAAAAGCUUAUUCAAUUAAUAAAAUCUAAUAAAGUAAACACGUUGGUUAAUCGCACGAGGAUAGUUGAUGCUCUUUUAAAAGCAAAAACAUAUUAUAGUUCUGAUAUUGAAUCAAUUCUCGAAAAAGAGGGACUCUC
Long non-coding RNA from Zophobas morio, 506 nucleotides. RefSeq lists it as uncharacterized. The transcript has 5 exons. Lineage: Eukaryota; Metazoa; Arthropoda; Insecta; Coleoptera; Tenebrionidae. The record is from RefSeq and is a predicted model, not a curated record.